This 75-nucleotide transfer RNA is filed under the name Candidatus Nealsonbacteria bacterium CG_4_8_14_3_um_filter_37_36. RNAcentral's name for it is "tRNA-Asp". It matches the Rfam family "tRNA". Rfam says of the family: Transfer RNA (tRNA) molecules are approximately 80 nucleotides in length. Their secondary structure includes four short double-helical elements and three loops (D, anti-codon, and T loops). Further hydrogen bonds mediate the characteristic L-shaped molecular structure. tRNAs have two regions of fundamental functional importance: the anti-codon, which is responsible for specific mRNA codon recognition, and the 3' end, to which the tRNAs corresponding amino acid is attached (by aminoacyl-tRNA synthetases). tRNAs cope with the degeneracy of the genetic code in two manners: having more than one tRNA (with a specific anti-codon) for a particular amino acid; and 'wobble' base-pairing, i.e. permitting non-standard base-pairing at the 3rd anti-codon position. Lineage: Bacteria; Candidatus Nealsoniibacteriota. RNAcentral also lists the same sequence under 3 other names. The record is from RNAcentral.
GGACCCGUAGUGUAGCCCGGAUAACACGUCUGCUUGUCGAGCAGAAAAUCGUGGGUUCAAAUCCCAUCGGGUCCG